UUUAUCCCAGUUCAGUUGGUAGAGCUUGAGACUCUUAAUCUCAAGGUCAUGGGUUCGAGCCCCACAUUAGGCAAAA
Molecule: non-coding RNA, 76 nt
Organism: Podarcis lilfordi (Lilford's wall lizard)
Lineage: Eukaryota; Metazoa; Chordata; Lepidosauria; Squamata; Lacertidae
Source: the annotation of a GenBank genome assembly